AUAAACGCUGGCGGCGCACAUAAGACAUGCAAGUUGAACGGACUUAAUCGAAAUAUUUAUAUUUUGAAGCGGUUAGUGGCGGACUGGUGAGUAACGCGUAAGGAACCUGCCUAUUAGAGGGGAAUAACAGUGAGAAAUCAUUGCUAAUACCGCAUAUGCCAUAGAUAUCACAUGAUAACAGUGGGAAAGGAGCAAUCCGCUAAUAGAUGGCCUUGCGUCUGAUUAGAUAGUUGGUGGGGUAACGGCCUACCAAGUCGACGAUCAGUAGCCGGACUGAGAGGUUGAACGGCCACAUUGGGACUGAGAUACGGCCCAGACUCCUACGGGAGGCAGCAGUCGGGAAUAUUGCGCAGUGGAGGAAACUCUGACGCAGUGACGCCGCGUAUAGGAAGAAGGUUUUCGGAUUGUAAACUAUUGUCGUUAGGGAAGAGAAAGGACAGUACCUAAGGAGGAAGCUCCGGCUAACUACGUG
This 472-nucleotide ribosomal RNA is filed under the name uncultured bacterium. Its description in RNAcentral is "partial 16S ribosomal RNA". It matches the Rfam family "Bacterial small subunit ribosomal RNA", at positions 29 to 507 of the family's 1533-position model. The record is from RNAcentral.